AUUGAACGCUGGCGGCAGGCUUAACACAUGCAAGUCGAACGAGUGGCGGACGGGUGAGUAAUGCUUGGGAAUCUAGCUUCUGGAGGGGGAUAACUACGGGAAACUGUAGCUAAUACCGCGUACCAUAGGAUGAGCCCAAGUGGGAUUAGGUAGUUGGUGAGGUAAAGGCUCACCAAGCCGACGAUCUCUAGCUGGUCUGAGAGGAUGACCAGCAACACUGGAACUGAGACACGGCCCAGACUCCUGCGGGAGGCAGCAGUGGGGAAUAUGGCCCAAUGGGGGCAACCUGACGCAGCGAUGCCGCGUGAAGAAAGACGGCCUUCGGGUUGUAAAGUUCUUUCGGUAGCGAGGCGUUAACUACAGAAGACGCACCGGCUAACUCCGUGCCAGCCGCCGCGGUAAUAC
This 405-nucleotide ribosomal RNA is filed under the name uncultured bacterium. Its description in RNAcentral is "partial 16S ribosomal RNA". It matches the Rfam family "Bacterial small subunit ribosomal RNA", at positions 30 to 526 of the family's 1533-position model. The record is from RNAcentral.